This is a long non-coding RNA of Ipomoea triloba (trilobed morning glory), 677 nucleotides long. RefSeq lists it as uncharacterized. NCBI's taxonomy places the organism in Eukaryota, Viridiplantae, Streptophyta, Magnoliopsida, Solanales, Convolvulaceae. The transcript is spliced from 3 exons. The record is from RefSeq and is a predicted model, not a curated record.
AAAUAUCUCAUUUGCAAGAAUAUAACUCAUUUUGAAAGAAGAUAAGGAGAGUUGCUAGAGAGAUAAGGGAAGGAAAAGUCUUGAAGCUUUGAUCUCCAUCCCCUUCAAGCUUAGGUCUCAAGUAAUUUUUGGAGUAUUCAAGGGUUUUGACAAGGAGUAUUUGGGUGAGCUAAAUAGCUCAGAUUUGGAUGUUUUAGAGUAGUUAAAGGUAUGUGAAUAGUACAAAGCGCAAGUGGUGGAAUCUUGAAGGUGACUUUUGAAACUAAGAGAAAAACUUAGUCCUAGUAUUGAAGCAUAUCACGAGCUUUUGGUUAUUUGGAUAUUCUCUUCGACCCUUUGUAUUUACGGUAAACCAUUGUGCUUGGUUUUGGUGCUUCUGAUGCAUUUUGGACAUAUUACUCUUGAUUGUAAAUAUUUAGUAGUGAUGAUUUGAUGAGUUUGGGAAGAACUAGUUCUUUGUUGUGGAAUUAUUAUGUAUUCGAGUGUUGUUAUGAAGGUUUCGAGAAGUAUGUAUGGUUAGGCUUCGUAUUGUUACAGGUUUUCACGUAACGAUACGGCCGGGUCAUGUCCUAGAAGUAGGGCGUGACAUGCAUAUUUAGAUAACAUGUUUAAUUGUAAAAUAUUGAAUUCUACUUUUUAAGUUGAAGAUGAAUAUAUAUAUCCGAUAUUUAUUUAAA